RNAcentral lists this ribosomal RNA (220 nucleotides) under Giardia duodenalis. RNAcentral's name for it is "Giardia intestinalis partial 18S ribosomal RNA". The record is from RNAcentral. Lineage: Eukaryota; Fornicata; Diplomonadida; Hexamitidae.
UGCAUGCCCGCUCACCCGGGACGCGGCGGACGGCUCAGGACAACGGUUGCACCCCCCGCGGCGGUCCCUGCUAGCCGGACACCGCUGGCAACCCGGCGCCAAGACGUGCGCGCAAGGGCGGGCGCCCGCGGGCGAGCAGCGUGACGCAGCGACGGCCCGCCCGGGCUUCCGGGGCAUCACCCGGUCGGCGCGGUCGCGGCGCGCCGAGGGCCCGACGCCU